AAUGUGAUAGGGAACUCCGAGUGCCCGUAUACGCGGGCUGUCCAGGUGUUUAAAAAUCAUCUGAAGAAAGGGCCGGGCAAGACCGGUGCCAGCCGCCGCGGUAAUACCGGCGGCUCGAGUGGUGGCCACUAUUAUUGGGCUUAAAGGGUCCGUAGCUGGACCGAUAAGUCUCUUGGGAAAUCCGCCGGCUCAACCGGCGGGCGUCUAAGGGAUACUGUUGGUCUAGGGACCGGGAGAGGUGAGAGGUACUCCGGGGGUAGGAGUGAAAUCCUGUAAUCCCCGGGGGACCACCGAUUGCGAAGGCAUCUCACCAGAACGGCUCCGACAGUGAGGGACGAAAGCUGGGGGAGCAAACCGGAUUAGAUACCCGGGUAGUCCCAGCCGUAAACUAUGCGCGUUAGGUGUCCUGGUGACCACGAGUCACCUGGGUGCCGAAGGGAAACCGUGAAACGUGCCGCCUGGGAAGUACGGUCGCAAGGCUGAAACUUAA
This 490-nucleotide ribosomal RNA is filed under the name uncultured archaeon. RNAcentral describes it as "bacterial SSU rRNA". It matches the Rfam family "Archaeal small subunit ribosomal RNA", at positions 364 to 859 of the family's 1478-position model. The record is from RNAcentral.